Molecule: ribosomal RNA, 235 nt
Filed under: uncultured bacterium
Lineage: Bacteria
Description: partial 16S ribosomal RNA
Rfam family: Bacterial small subunit ribosomal RNA
Source: RNAcentral
UACGUAGGGGGCAAGCGUUGUCCGGAAUCAUUGGGCGUAAAGCGCGUGUAGGUGGUUUAAUAAGUCUUGCUGUGAAAGUCCAGGGCUCAACCCUGGGAUGCCGGUGGAUACUGUUAAACUAGAGUUCGGAAGAGGCGAGUGGAAGUUCCUGGUGUAGCGGUGAAAUGCGCAGAUAUCAGGUAGGAACACCAAUUGCGAAGGCAGCUCGCUGGUACGACACUGACACUGAGACGCG